Small nucleolar RNA from Tupaia belangeri (northern tree shrew), 125 nucleotides. The record is from Ensembl. Lineage: Eukaryota; Metazoa; Chordata; Mammalia; Scandentia; Tupaiidae.
GGUUGCUCAAAGUCACCCCUGGCUCCGACCACGGCUAUGGGUGACAUUUGGUGCCAGAGUCACCAGAAACCUCAGCUCACCUCCCAUUGCGUCAGUGUCAGGUGGUAAAUCCAGGACCCACUGAU